Molecule: ribosomal RNA, 1342 nt
Filed under: uncultured bacterium
Lineage: Bacteria
Description: 16S ribosomal RNA
Rfam family: Bacterial small subunit ribosomal RNA
Source: RNAcentral
GACGAACGCUGGCGGCGUGCUUAACACAUGCAAGUCGAACGGAAAGGCCCUGCUUUUGUGGGGUGCUCGAGUGGCGAACGGGUGAGUAACACGUGAGUAACCUGCCCUUGACUUUGGGAUAACUUCAGGAAACUGGGGCUAAUACCGGAUAGGAGCUCCUGCUGCAUGGUGGGGUUGGAAAGUUUCGGCGGUUGGGGAUGGACUCGCGGCUUAUCAGCUUGUUGGUGGGGUAGUGGCUUACCAAGGCUUUGACGGGUAGCCGGCCUGAGAGGGUGACCGGCCACAUUGGGACUGAGAUACGGCCCAGACUCCUACGGGAGGCAGCAGUGGGGAAUAUUGCACAAUGGGCGGAAGCCUGAUGCAGCAACGCCGCGUGCGGGAUGACGGCCUUCGGGUUGUAAACCGCUUUCGCCUGUGACGAAGCGUGAGUGACGGUAAUGGGUAAAGAAGCACCGGCUAACUACGUGCCAGCAGCCGCGGUGAUACGUAGGGUGCGAGCGUUGUCCGGAUUUAUUGGGCGUAAAGGGCUCGUAGGUGGUUGAUCGCGUCGGAAGUGUAAUCUUGGGGCUUAACCCUGAGCGUGCUUUCGAUACGGGUUGACUUGAGGAAGGUAGGGGAGAAUGGAAUUCCUGGUGGAGCGGUGGAAUGCGCAGAUAUCAGGAGGAACACCAGUGGCGAAGGCGGUUCUCUGGGCCUUUCCUGACGCUGAGGAGCGAAAGCGUGGGGAGCGAACAGGCUUAGAUACCCUGGUAGUCCACGCUGUAAACGGUGGGUACUAGGUGUGGGGUCCAUUCCACGGGUUCCGUGCCGUAGCUAACGCUUUAAGUACCCCGCCUGGGGAGUACGGCCGCAAGGCUAAAACUCAAAGGAAUUGACGGGGCCCCGCACAAGCGGCGGAGCAUGCGGAUUAAUUCGAUGCAACGCGUAGAACCUUACCUGGGUUUGACAUGGAUCGGGAGUGCUCAGAGAUGGGUGUGCCUCUUUUGGGGUCGGUUCACAGGUGGUGCAUGGCUGUCGUCAGCUCAUGUCGUGAGAUGUUGGGUUAAGUCCCGCAACGAGCGCAACCCUUGUUCACUGUUGCCAGCACGUUAUGGUGGGGACUCAGUGGAGACCGCCGGGGUCAACUCGGAGGAAGGUGGGGAUGACGUCAAGUCAUCAUGCCCCUUAUGUCCAGGGCUUCACGCAUGCUACAAUGGCUGGUACAGAGAGUGGCGAGCCUGUGAGGGUGAGCGAAUCUCGGAAAGCCGGUCUCAGUUCGGAUUGGGGUCUGCAACUCGACCUCAUGAAGUCGGAGUCGCUAGUAAUCGCAGAUCAGCAACGCUGCGGUGAAUACGUUCCCGGG